GCCAGACUCCUACGGGAGGCAGCAGUGGGGAAUAUUGGGCAAUGGGCGCAAGCCUGACCCAGCAAUGCCGCGUGAAGGAAGAAGGCUUUCGGGUUGUAAACUUCUUUGACAGGGGAAGAGCAGAAGACGGUACCCUGAAAACAAGCCACGGCUAACUACGUGCCAGCAGCCGCGGUAAUACGUAGGUGGCAAGCGUUGUCCGGAUUUACUGGGUGUAAAGGGAGCGUAGACGGAAUUGCAAGUCUGAUGUGAAAAUCCGGGGCCCAACCCCGGAACUGCAUUGGAAACUGUAUUUCUAGAGUGUCGGAGAGGCAAGUGGAAUUCCUGGUGUAGCGGUGAAAUGCGUAGAUAUCAGGAGGAACACCAGUGGCGAAGGCGGCUUGCUGGACGAUGACUGACGUUGAGGCUCGAAAGCGUGGGGAGCAAACAGGAUUAGAUACCCUUGUA
Molecule: ribosomal RNA, 447 nt
Filed under: uncultured bacterium
Lineage: Bacteria
Description: bacterial SSU rRNA
Rfam family: Bacterial small subunit ribosomal RNA
Source: RNAcentral